GAGUUCGCGGGAGAGUAAGUUAUUGCCAGGGUUUUUAUUUUAUACUUUAAACAUUGAUUUUAUUUUUUAUGUUUUUAGAUGUUCAUGUUUUUGAAUGUUUUAUUCGAAUAAUAUAAAAAAUAAAAUAUAUAUAUUGACAUGGAUUAAACAAAGAUAUAUAUUAUUCUAUGUUGUAUAAACAAAUUGGCAAAAUAGAGAUGGAAGAUAAAAAUAUGGUCAAAGUAAUAAGAGUCUAUGGUGAAUGCC
RNAcentral lists this unclassified non-coding RNA (246 nucleotides) under Borreliella garinii. RNAcentral describes it as "partial 5S-23S ribosomal RNA intergenic spacer". The record is from RNAcentral. Lineage: Bacteria; Pseudomonadati; Spirochaetota; Spirochaetia; Spirochaetales; Borreliaceae.